AACUCCCAAACCCUUUGUGAACCUUACCUAUCGUUGCUUCGGCGGGAUCGCCCCGGCGCCUUCGGGCCCGGAACCAGGCGCCCGCCGGAGGCCCCAAACUCUUAUGUCUUUAGUGGUUUUCUCCUCUGAGUGACACAUAAACAAAUAAAUAAAAACUUUCAACAACGGAUCUCUUGGUUCUGGCAUCGAUGAAGAACGCAGCGAAAUGCGAUAAGUAAUGUGAAUUGCAGAAUUCAGUGAAUCAUCGAAUCUUUGAACGCACAUUGCGCCCGCCAGUAUUCUGGCGGGCAUGCCUGUUCGAGCGUCAUUUCAACCCUCAGGCCCCCAGUGCCUGGCGUUGGGGAUCGGCGUGGGCGGCGACGGCUCUCCGGAGUCCCGAGCCAAUGCCUGCCGGCCCCGAAAUUCAGUGGCGGUCUCGCUGUAGUCCCCCUCUGCGUAGUAGCACAACUCGCAUUGGAGCUCGGCGGUGGCCAUGCCGUAAAACACCCCACUUCUGAAAGUUGACCUCGGAUCAGGUAGGAAUACCCGCUGAACUUAA
Molecule: ribosomal RNA, 538 nt
Filed under: Myrothecium sp. LHM-1
Lineage: Eukaryota; Fungi; Ascomycota; Sordariomycetes; Hypocreales; Stachybotryaceae
Description: eukaryotic LSU rRNA
Rfam family: 5.8S ribosomal RNA (bases 154-307)
Source: RNAcentral